CUGUUCGGUCAGGGUCUGUGGGUUGGCGCUGUUUGCUGGCAGCGUGUGAAGCCAAAGAAUAAGACUUAAUCUUUGUCCUUGAGAAGCUUAAACUUCAGUUCCAGAGACAACGCCUGACAUAAAACAUUAGAGUUAGAGAGAAGCAGAAGGAGAGGUCUUCCAUUCGCUGGGUACACUCCCCAAAUGACUGCAACGGCAGGAACUGGGCUGAUCCGAAGCCAGGAGCCAGACCAGGAAGACAGUGUGAAACUGCUGAUAAUUGACCACUUCUAAUCUGCAGAAAUGCAGAGUUCCUAGCUCCACCUAAUUGGCAUUCACCGCUUUGGGCAGGUGUGAGGAGUUCAUGAGAGAAGGCUCUGGGACAUUCAAGCCUGAAAGGCAACAGGAUUUGCCCAAAGCUGCAGUAGUUUGGCGUGGGGUCAGAACUAGAACUCUAGUCCAUUGGUGUACCUUCCUGUACCCUGCCUGACCUUGUCAUUCCCAUUUGCUCCUGGUAAGUCGACAUACUGAGAACUUUGGGUAUGGAGGUAGGGAUCUCUUUGUGUGGAAGUUUCUCUUUGAGGAAGAGAUGUUUUAGUAAGUGCAGCUUCCUUGCUUAUGUGUUGGAGUUUUGCCUUCACCUUUCCUCCAAGUACUAUGUGGAGCUUAUAGAUGGGCAAGUGAGAGCACAGCCCAGGGAUGUUCCACACCUGACCUGAGAAUGAUGCCUGAAGGGUUAGGCCAGGCCAGCAGGUUAUGCAUUCAGCAAAUAUUUGUUGAGCCUUUUGCCCAAAACUAGAGGCAACCGCGGUAAACACUCCAGGGCUUGCCAGCAGAAAAGCUAACAGGCUGGCAAGAGCCAGAGAUACAGGUUCAGGCAACCGUUCUGCAAAAAGUGUUUCCAAGGAUGGCCGUGGGUACUCCAGAGCUGGUGGAUGGCCCUGGGUACUCCGGAGCUGGUGGUGUCUAGCCGAGGGGGUGUUCAGGGAGGACUCUGCUGAGGGCCAUAAUGCAGCAGGGAAUGAAAGUAGGAGCCAAGUGGCAGGUGCAGGGUAUGUUGUUCUAGAGUUGAUGGUUUAGGAACCAUACCUAAUUUAGUGCCUGGAGCAGGAGCUGGAAGAGGGCAACAUAAGGCAGGUGAGGAAAGCAGGGGUCAGGUCAUGCAGAUCUCAGUGGAGGCUCUGGGCAUUCUCAUGAGAGCAGUGGAGCAUGAAAACUUGGUUCCAUGUCUCUCUUGCAGCCUUAGCAUGUGUAUGAGAGAAAUUUUGGAUCUCAAAUAAAAGAAAAUGUUUUGCUAAGACCUCUGGAGGCAGAACAAGUUCAGGGACUCUGCCAGAGACAAUGCCGACUCCUAUACUCCAUGUUUGCCAUCAAACCAGCGUUUGCCUUGGGCGUGAUUAGGGAAGCUCCCGUGUGUCCUGCCCUAUUCCUGCUGCAGGCCUCAGCAUGUGCUGGAUGAUGUCAUCAUGAUUCAUGGCUGUGACCAUCCAUGCUCCAGAGAAGCUCUCAGUCCUUGAAAGCUAUGCCAUAUCCUGGUUGUUUUAUUUAUGUAUUUUUUUAACAAGAUACAUUUUAUUAAGUAAAAUAUCAUAUUAUUUGUGGAUAAAUACAUAUAUAAUAAAACCACAAAAAUAUAAAACUAAAAUCAAGUAUACUUUUGGAUCAGGGAGGAAAGAGAAUAGCAAGGGAGUACCUCCAACUCUGUAACAUUUUAAUGCUAAAGAAAGCCAGCACUGACCUGGCUGCCUAACCUCACGACCAGUACAGGCAAAACGGGAAACCAGAACCUGAACACAUCACAUGCAUGGCCCCUCAUCACCAUAAUUCGGAAGUAGCCUUCCCACUGAGCUUGUCACCUCCAGCCAAUUGAGUUCUCACUUGUCACUCGUCCAUCAACCACACUUACAGACAUGCCUUAACCUUAUAAGACAGAAAUAGUCCCCAGCUGUGACUGCUCAUCUGUCAAUCUGAUUGGGCCACCAAUGCCCAACAUUUGGUCAAACGUUGUUCUCUCUGUCUGUCAGAGAGAGUUUUUGGAUGAGAUUAGCACAUAAAAAUGAGUGGACUUUGAAUUGAGCAGAUUGCCCUUACUCAUGUGGGCUGGCUUCAACCUAUCAAUCUUGAUAGAAUAAAAAACAGACCUACCCCUAGUAAGGCAGUAUUAUUUCUGUCCAAUGGCUUGCAAACAGCAUCAUCAGCGUUUUCUUGUCUCCACACUUAAAAUAUCAGCUCUUCCCUCCAUCUCUCUCUCUUGCUGUCUAACUCUGCUUCCCCUUCCAGUGCUGGCGCGCAGACUCUGUGGCUGGGCUUCCAUGUGGUGGGCGACCUUGCUCUCCCCGUAGGUCCUCCAUGUCACAUCCACUAGAUCCGGAAGAGUUUCCUCUGCAAUUUUUUCCUGAAGCUACAGUAACUCCACUUUUAUUAAACUAUCUUUUCCCAGACUAUCGGUGCGCGCCCUCACUAUUCUGCCAUCUUCUAUUUAUGUAUUUUUUCUAAAUGCAAUCACUUUCUUUAAGUUGUUAGUAUGAAAGUAACAUUUAAAAAAAAAAAAAGAUUUACUUUUGGCCGGCGCCGUGGCUCACUAGGCUAAUCCUCCACCUGUGGCGCCGGCACCCCGGGUUCUAGUCCUGGUCGGGGCACCGGAUUCUGUCCCGGUUGCCCCUCUUCCAGUCCAGCUCUCUGCUGUGGUCUGGGAGGGCAGUGGAAGAUGGCCUGAGUGCUUGGGCCCUGCACCCGUGUGGGAGACCGGGAGAGGCACCUGGCUCCUGGCUUCGGAUUGGCGCGGUGCGCCGGCCGCAGCAUGCCAGCCGCAGUGGCCAUUGGGGGGUGAACCAACGGAAAAGGAAGACCUUUCUCUCUCUCUCUCUCUCUCUCUCUCUCACUGUCCACUCUGCCUGUCAAAUAAAUAAAUAAAUAAAAGAUUUACUUUUUAUUUAUUUGAAAGAGUUACAGAGAAAGAAAAGACAAGAGCAAGAGAGAUCUUCCAUCUGCUGGUUCAUUCCCCAAAUGGCUGUAAUGGCUAGGACUGGGCCAGGCUGAAGCCAGGAGCCAGGAGCUUCUUUUGGGUCUCCCACAUGGGUGCAGGUGUCCAAGCAGUUGGGCCAUCUUCUGCUGCUUUCCCAGGCACAUUAAUAGGGAGCUGGAUGGAAGUGAACCAGCUGGGUCUUGAACUGGUGCCCAUAUGAGGGGCUGGCAUUGUAGGUGGCAGCUUAACCCACUAUACCACUGCACCAGCUUCAAUAACAUGUUUUUAUAAAAAAAAUUAAGUAUCUCAGAAGUGUAUUCAAUAUAAAGUGGAAUUUUUCCCCUCCCCUCAUGGUCUACUCUCCCCCAGCCCAUUUUUGUAUGUUCACUGUGUAAUGUUAAAUAAAAAUCUACUGUCAUAGAAUAUAUAAAUUCUGCCUAGAAUUUGACCACCUUGGAGCACUUCCCAAGACUCAUUAAAGGUCCGUGAGCUUCUGUCUUUGGGCUCUAGGUCACUCAUAUUUUGCCCUGAAUUAACCUUUUAUUAACCUUUUUACAAGGCCUACUUAUUUCUCUCAGUGCUUGGCAUCUUCUGGUGCAUCAAAGAUAGUUACUGAAGUGUUAGGAAGCCACUAGAGGGCAAGUGGGGUCUCCUAGAAGACGAUGAGGAAAUCAUGAGAACUUUGAUGGCAAUGUGUGUGGAGGAGAGGUGACAUCUAUUCAUUCAUUCAUUCAUUCAUUCAGCAAAUAUGUACCUACUAUGUGCCAGGUACUUUUUGAGGAGGACAAUGUGAUGUUUUCUCAGCAACCACUGAUUUGAUCUCCUGACAGCAAAUGAGUAUCCCAUUCAGUUCUGACACUGCCCAGUCAGUGGGACCUCACAGGUUAAGGGGUCAAGACACCCUCCCCACUUCAGAUGCCAGCUAUGAUUGGGGUCCUCAGGCUAUCUAUACUUCUUCCUGGCUGAGUACAGGAUUAGGGACUCUUACAACUCCCCUCCCCCAGGUUCAGUUAAUGGCUGGGACAACUCACAGAACUCAGGAACGUAUAGAGUUUAUAAAGUAUAUUAAUGUACAGCCAGAAGGGGAGAUGCAGAGGACAAGAUCUGGAAAGGUCCAGCGUAUAGGACCUCUGUCCUGGUGGUGUCUAAUGUACUCCCAGUGUUUGGCAAGGCAAUACCUGCAUAGCCUACUUAAGUUGCUACCUUGACCCUAACAUCAUUUCUCUGAGAGAGCAGGAUGCCUUGCAGUCCAUAGUUUCUCCUCAGGCUAACUGACCAGGACCAGCAAGAUUCAAUACGGCUGCCUGAUGACCUCAGAAGACCUCAGACCUCCUUACAGUCUAAUUUCCUUGUUAAGUGAUUCUCCCACCAGUGCCGUGAGAGUUGACAGUAACUGUGACAGCCCCUGGAAGAGGCUGAUUCUGAGAAUUAUGCCACCCCCUUUCCCAGAGAAGUCAUAGUAUUCCUCCUACUUAUUAGCGCACUCCUCCUCCACAUUCCUGUGGCCCUGUGUGUUUGACUCCUCAGCUCCCAGUGGGUUUGGAAGUUGAUUUGCAAGCUAAGCUCUUGCUUCUCCAUUCUUUGGCCGCUGAAUAAAGCUUGUGCUGUUGGUGCUCAGCUUCGGCUUAGUAAUUGACUUGGUAACGCUAAAUAGACAAAGGAAUCGAUUUUGGAAACCCUCUCCACAUAAUGGGGAUCCCAUACAUGGAGUGACACCAACAUAUGCAUGCAUUUGUUAAAACCUUGGAGGCUCCCCAAGCCCCAUUGCCUAGGGUUUUAUGUGGAAUUUCAUUACAUAAGCAUGGCUAGUGAAAUCAUUGCCAAUGGUGAUUAAGUUUAAUUUUCAGCCCUUCUCCUCUCCUUGAGGUUGAGGUUGAGGGUGAGAUAGAAGGUUCCAGGCCUUCUUAUCACAUAAUUAGAUCAUCUGGAAGCUACCUUCUAUCCUGAAGCUAUCUAGGGGCCCACCAGAAUCAUUGUAUCAGCAUAGACGUAGAUACGGCUGGAAGGAGAUUUGUUCUGAAUAAUGAAAAGGCAUUUCUAUCAGUCAGGAAAUUUCAAAGGUUUCAGGUGCUCUGUGCUACAAGCUAGGCAAAGAUACUUAAAAUAUAUCUUUUAUUAUACCAUAAUAAGAUAUCUAACUUUGUAGAGCUUACAAUCUGGUAGGAGAAAAUGCCAAUAAAAAUAGAUGUGAUAGAUUAUGUGAAAUGUUGGAAGGCGAGGAGUGCUUAGGAAAAAAAAAAAAGAGCAGAGUAAGGGAGUUAGGAGUACAAGUGGUUGGGGUGACAAAUCUUUUAUAAUUUCAGGUUCAUUUCAGGUGAGAGCUAAUUUAGUUUUAGACAAGAACUUAAGUACUGUGUUUGAAGCACAAAAUAGGAUCAUUAAAAAAAAAGGAUUUGCAGGACAUGAUAAGAAAAAAAGCAUAUGGUUGAAAUGAAUUCCUUGACUCAUUCCUAUCCUCAUAAUGAGUUGAGUUCUGUUUUGGUUGGUUAGCAUCAAGGGAGGAUGAGCACUAACUGAAUCAGGUUCAAAGUUAAUUUCAGCACAGUUAAAAAAGAAAGAACUGUUCCCAAAUCCAGCGUAGUAAUGUGAUGUUGUAGUCACGUCAUCUGCUGGAUGAGCUGAGGACAAAUAGAACGUUAGAGAGAUAUCUUAGCCUGAGUCUCUACAACAGGAUUCCAUAGACUGGGUGACCUAUAGACCACAGAAAUUUGUUUCUGAAGUUCUGGAGGCUGGACGAUCCAAGAUCAAAGUGUCUGCAUAUUCGAUGUUUGGUGAUAGGCCACUGCCUGGCUCAUAAGUGGCUGUCUUCUUGCUGAGUUCUCACAUAGUGGAAGGGGUGAGAGAGUUCCCCAGAGUCUCUUUUCUUAGGGCACUAAUCCCAGAUUCUCUCUCAUGACCUAAGCAUCUACAGAAGGUGUCCCACCUCCUAAUACCACCCCAUUGGUGAUAUUUCUAUAUAGGAAUUUGGGGUCAGGAGACACAAAUAUUCAGUCGAUAGCUAAAGGUAUUGAAAAAGCUGCAUUGGAAAUGGGGUCUGUGAAGUCAGUCCUGGAGACCUAGAAUAACCAUGUUUAUCUUUUCUGCCUUUCACAGAACUGAAUGUUGACAUUCUUGAAAUGUUGUUUUUAUUUUUCUUUGGCAAAAUCUGCAAACAAACCUUGGAGCUCAUGAAAACAUCUACAUUCCUCAGAUGGCUGGGUCAUAGUCUCAUUGAAGUGGAUGUAGCAGUUAGCAUCUGGACAACUUGGGAGCUGAGGGCACUCUGGAGGGCAAUUGGUCCUUUUCUUCAAUGCCUCAUUUUACAAGUGAAGAAACUACCUAAAGUCAGUACAGAGGAUUCAUGAGAAUCAGAUCUGAGUUUGGUUUUUUGUUUGCUUUUAUUUUUUUAAUUUAUUUGAAAGUCAGAAUUUUACACACACACACACACACACAUACAGAGAGAGAGAGAGAGAGAGGGAGGUCUUCCAUCCACUGGCUCACUCUCCAAUUGGCCGCAACGGUUGGAGCUGUGCCGAUCCCAAGCCAGGAGCCAGGAGCCAGGAGCCAGGAGCUUCCUUUAUAUCUUUCCAUGCAGGUGCAGGGGCCCAAGGACCUGGGCCAUCUUCCACUGCUUUCCUAGGCUAUAGCAGAGAGAUGGAUGGAAAGUGGAGCAGCCAGGACUUGCGCUGGUGCUCAUCUCAUAGGAUCCCAGCACUGCAGGCAGCAGCUUUACCCACUAAGGCACAGCGCCAGCCUCAGAUCUGAGUUUUCAUUAAAUAUGAUGUUUUACCUACCAUACCAGACUUUCCAUAUUGUAAUCUUCUGUUUAAAAUUUGCAGUUUGCUAAGGUUUGAAAGCUAGGAGCUUGAGGGCUAGGUCUCCAGAGAGACCUUAGCAUUUGCUGCCCUGUGCUGCCUCAAGAGUUUUCUGCCUGCCAGCUCCACAGUGCUCCUUGGCCACCCCAGCUCAGGCUGCCCGUUUGCAGGGCUCAGGCAAUGUUCACAGGGUGCUGGCUUGGUGUCGUCAGCACAGAGGUCCUAGGGGCCUCCAUCUAGAUUUCAGAGGACGAGGCAGGCAGCCUGGGAGCACAGGCGGAGACUUGUCGCAGGAGCAGAGCCACCACACCACCACAGAGAGCUCCCAACAACAUGCUCCCUACCUCAGAGAAAAUUGUCCAGCCCUGCUUUAAUCCUAAUUAAAGCCAACCAGCUAUCCUUGCAGGUGAACAGGAGUCACAACAGAUUGGAUGAAGGCACAUUCCUUCUGGUGAACUCUCCUUGAUAAGAAACCUCAGGCUGUGCCCUGGUUGAAGCCAGAUUCAGAAUUCUUGGCAUAAGCACCAUUUCCCACUUUAUCAUUCUGAUAUGGAAGUCCA
Oryctolagus cuniculus (rabbit) is the source of this 7298-nucleotide non-coding RNA. NCBI's taxonomy places the organism in Eukaryota, Metazoa, Chordata, Mammalia, Lagomorpha, Leporidae. The record is from RefSeq and is a predicted model, not a curated record.